AGUGAAUAGAUACCCUGGUAGUCCCAGCCGUAAACGAUGCGCGUUAGGUGUAUCAGUGACCACGAGUCACUGAGGUGCCGAAGAGAAAUCGUGAAACGUGCCGCCUGGGAAGUACGGUCGCAAGGCUGAAACUUAAAGGAAUUGGCGGGGGAGCACCACAACAGGUGGAGCCUGCGGUUUAAUCGGACUCAACGCCGGGAAACUCACCAGUUAAGACAGCUGAAUGAUAGUCGGGCUGAAGACUCUACUUGACUAGCUGAGAGGAGGUGCAUGGCCGUCGUCAGUUCGUACUGUGAAGCAUCCUGUUAAGUCAGGCAACGAGCGAGACCCACGCCAACAGUUGCUAGCUCGUCCUCCGGGAUGGAGAGGACACUGUUGGGACCGCCUCUGCUAAAGAGGAGGAAGGAAUGGGCAACGGUAGGUCAGCAUGCCCCGAAUUAACUGGGCUACACGCGGGCUACAAUGGGUGGGACAAUGGGUAUCGACACCGAAAGGUGAAGGCAAUC
Molecule: ribosomal RNA, 506 nt
Filed under: uncultured bacterium
Lineage: Bacteria
Description: bacterial SSU rRNA
Rfam family: Archaeal small subunit ribosomal RNA
Source: RNAcentral